Molecule: long non-coding RNA, 1416 nt
Organism: Anguilla rostrata (American eel)
Lineage: Eukaryota; Metazoa; Chordata; Actinopteri; Anguilliformes; Anguillidae
Exons: 2
Source: RefSeq, a predicted model, not a curated record
CACCGUGGGCAAAUUUGACUGGCGGCUGAUUUUUGUGCCACAGCCCCUUCCCUUUGACAGCGAAAUGCACAGAAGGAUAACAUCGCUUGGACUUUUCAAGCUUAGUAAAAGAAGACUUAGGGGAGAUUUGAUUGAGGCUUUUAAAUUUAUUAAAGGGAUUAACAAAGUGAACUACAGGAAAUCAUUCAAGUUGAGUUCGGUGAGCAGAACGAGGGGGCAUAAAUGGAAACUGGCAAAGGGUAAAUUUCACACAGACAUUAGGAAACAUUUUUUCACGCAGACAGUGGUCAAUGUGUGGUAUAGCUUGUCUGGACAUGUAGUGGAGGCAGGAGCUAUUGAACUUGAAAGCAUUUGUCAGCUGUAUUUUUUUCAAAUGUCAAUUUAAAUUCAUAAUUGGAAAUAUUUGUGUAAAAUUGCACGAGGUAAUAAUGCACAAAGCAUAGGCUCUGCAUCUUGUGGCCGUUGUUUGUGAACAAUUUAGCAGUGGUUUGAUGGUCCUAGGCCUUAUCUAGGAGCUAAGCAGCACGUGAAAUAACAUGUCCAUGCAAUACGUAGAUUGUUUACAUAUCUUCGUUUGAUUAUGAAUUCGUUGUAUUGCACUUCCCCCUUCUCCAGGUUAGCGAAUCAAUAGGUGUCAUCGUCAUCUUGAUUUGAUUUUGCAUUCGUUUUAUUUGUUAUGCGUGUUUAAUGUGAGCCCAACUUUGUUCACAGGAAGGUGUAGUUUACAGGGGAGUGCAUCUGUGGAAUCAGUGCAGGGAAGGGUUUGUUUCCCUCUGCCUUAGAGGGAGAGCACCUGCUCUGGAUCUGUGGGGGACACCGGGGCAGAUUCUUUUAGCCAAAUUACCCACAAUUUGUAUUAUCAUUUUAAAAUACAGUGCUGACAUUUUGCACAUUUUUAUUGGUGUGGGAUUUAAGUGGGAGCAUCUGUAUUAAACGGGUAGUAAACCAAUUAAGGAAUGGACUGGCUGAAUAAUUGCAGGGGUACUAGUCAAUAGAUUUUCCUCCCUCUUGUGGACAAAAAAUGCACUCGCAACAGGGUAGCCUGUUGUCCGCGCACCUGCCAUUAAUCACCAUUUAAGCGCAGAAACUCAGCUCUCGGCUAUACAUGCACACUAAAAAUCUGAGCUGAACACGAUUAAGGCAAAACUGCAACGAGGGAAAAUUCUUCUGUAAACCACCUUUAUUAUAUUCAUUAUGGAAGCUGUAGUUUACGGGGGUGUGCAUCAGUGGAAUUGGUGCAGGGAGCUACAGGUGAAGGGUUUGCUUCCCUCUGCUGGACAAAAAAUGGCAUUACAGCAGAGCAAGUCGGGUUUAAAAAGUUCUGCACUCCUUCGUUAUGAUCAAAAAAUAUUUUUUGUAUGAAGAUUUUUAAUGCUGCGCACAAUUCAAAAUAAUAAAUAUCUACUGAAAUUAAAA